CAGGUCACUCCUACGGGAGGCAGCAGUGGGGAAUAUUGGACAAUGGGGGCAACCCUGAUCCAGCAAUGCCGCGUGAGUGAUGAAGGCCUUAGGGUUGUAAAGCUCUUUUGCCAGGGACGAUGAUGACGGUACCUGGAGAAUAAGCCCCGGCUAACUUCGUGCCAGCAGCCGCGGUAAUACGAAGGGGGCUAGCGUUGUUCGGAAUUACUGGGCGUAAAGGGCGCGUAGGCGGUCUGAUAAGUUAGAUGUGAAAUUCCCGGGCUUAACCUGGGGGCUGCAUUUGAUACUGUCAGGCUUGAAUCCAGGAGAGGAUAGUGGAAUUCCCAGUGUAGAGGUGAAAUUCGUAGAUAUUGGGAAGAACACCAGUGGCGAAGGCGGCUAUCUGGACUGGCAUUGACGCUGAGGCGCGAAAGCGUGGGGAGCAAACAGGAUUAGAUACCCUGGUAGUCCACGCCGUAAACGAUGAGUGCUAGACGCUGGUAGGUUUACCUAUCGGUGUCGCAGCUAACGCAUUAAGCACUCCGCCUGGGGAGUACGGUCGCAAGAUUAAAACUCAAAGGAAUUGACG
This 568-nucleotide ribosomal RNA is filed under the name uncultured Dongia sp. RNAcentral's name for it is "bacterial SSU rRNA". It matches the Rfam family "Bacterial small subunit ribosomal RNA", at positions 329 to 915 of the family's 1533-position model. The record is from RNAcentral. Lineage: Bacteria; Pseudomonadati; Pseudomonadota; Alphaproteobacteria; Rhodospirillales; Dongiaceae.